Molecule: ribosomal RNA, 406 nt
Filed under: uncultured bacterium
Lineage: Bacteria
Description: partial 16S ribosomal RNA
Rfam family: Bacterial small subunit ribosomal RNA
Source: RNAcentral
AUUGAACGCUAGCGGGAUGCUUUACACAUGCAAGUCGAACGAGUGGCGGACGGGUGAGUAAUAUAUGGGGAUCUGCCCGAUAGAGGGGGAUAACUACUGGAAACGGUAGCUAAUACCGCAUACUAUCGGAUGAACCCAUAUGGGAUUAGCUAGUAGGUGGGGUAACGGCUCACCUAGGCGACGAUCCCUAGCUGGUCUGAGAGGAUGAUCAGCCACACUGGGACUGAGACACGGUCCAGACUCCUACGGGAGGCAGCAGUGGGGAAUAUUGCACAAUGGGCGAAAGCCUGAUCCAGCCAUGCCGCGUGUAUGAAGAAGGCCUUCGGGUUGUAAAGUACUUUCGGCGAGGAAGCGGUACCAGCAGAAUAAGCACCGGCUAACUACGUGCCAGCAGCCGCGGUAAUAC